Long non-coding RNA from Tarenaya hassleriana, 285 nucleotides. RefSeq lists it as uncharacterized. The record is from RefSeq and is a predicted model, not a curated record. NCBI's taxonomy places the organism in Eukaryota, Viridiplantae, Streptophyta, Magnoliopsida, Brassicales, Cleomaceae. The transcript is spliced from 2 exons.
AAGAGGAAGAGACAUGCAGCGAGAAGACACACGUGCUAACGUACGCCGACAAGGAAGGCGACUGGAUGAUGGUUGGCGAUGUCCCUUGGGAGAUGUUCUUGUCAAGUGUGAGAAGAUUGAAGAUCACGAGGGCUUACCACUAUUGACUUCUACGUGCAAGUGGAAGAACUCUUUUACGUUUUGUGGGUUCAUUUUUUUUUUUUGGGAAAUAUAAGUAAUGUACAAUGGAAUCUUAGGUAGGAGGAUGAACAAAUACAUUUGACCCACUCUGUAAAAAAAAAAAAA